AUCGCUUCUAGUUUUCUAGCUAUGAUCAAAAGUGUAUGAACUGUUCUUCUUAAUCUCUGGGACCUUAACCGAUUCGGUUAAAAUUGAGAUUAAAUCGAUUUUGGCAAUCUGGUAGAAGCUUUAAGGCUUGCCUAGUUCUGCCGAAGUGGACCUUACAUUGCAUUACAGUUUGGUCUGCUUGUUUCA
This is a small nuclear RNA of Ostrinia furnacalis (Asian corn borer), 186 nucleotides long. RefSeq annotates it as U2 spliceosomal RNA. The transcript has a single exon. The record is from RefSeq and is a predicted model, not a curated record. Lineage: Eukaryota; Metazoa; Arthropoda; Insecta; Lepidoptera; Crambidae.